Non-coding RNA from Cinara cedri, 204 nucleotides. The record is from the annotation of a GenBank genome assembly. NCBI's taxonomy places the organism in Eukaryota, Metazoa, Arthropoda, Insecta, Hemiptera, Aphididae.
AUAUACUAGGUAGUAAUAUACAAAUGUACAGUAUUUUACGUACAUAAUUUCAAUCUAUUGGUGGUCAGUAAUCCGGACAUGUUUUAUUUCGCCGCUUCGUAUACAUUUUAUCGCCUUGACAUUGGACUAGAAAUUAAAUUUAUAAUUUUAUUCGAUCGGGCCACAAACGUCUCACGCGAAUAUACAGAAUUGUAUUACAACUUG